Molecule: long non-coding RNA, 974 nt
Organism: Brassica napus (rape)
Lineage: Eukaryota; Viridiplantae; Streptophyta; Magnoliopsida; Brassicales; Brassicaceae
Exons: 4
Source: RefSeq, a predicted model, not a curated record
AGAUGAGACAUACAAAUUUCCGUAAAAUUUUCCUUUAGCAGUGUUGUACUUUGCAUUUAGCUUGACAUUUGUACAUUAACAAAUUGGAUUUAAAUUUACAUAAGGUUCUUUGCAUGAUAUUUCUCUCUUAUCUGUCUUUAUUUUCAUUGCAGGCUUCACUUGAAUCUGAGAUGAUAAAGCCACAACUGAUCUGAAACUCUUUGGUGUCAAUCUAAAGUGACAUGAAGGGGUCGUUGGUCGGAUUUCACUGAGUAUCAAAACGAAGCUCCAAAAGCAGAAGUUACACGAUGAAGAAUCUGGAGCGAAAGACGAGGAGAUAGAGAGGAAGAUGGAGAUUGGGCAAAGGGUUUAAGCUCAGCUUGGUUGUCUCGAGGAAGAGACUAAGCGCAUUGCCUUGAUCCGUGAGAAGCUUAGCAUGAUAACGAGUAGAAAGAAGUUGCAUUGGUCAGGAAGAAGAUUGAUUUUGUCAACAAAGAAUUCUCAACAAGCCAAUCUGUAAAGCUACCACCACCAGCAAAGAAUCCUCAAGGUUCCAAAAAAGAGGAGAUUGAGUAGCCAAAUCCAGGUUGAAGAGAAAAAUGAUGAAAUCAGACUGUGGUGGAACAUCCUGAGGAUUAAAACAAAUUGAUAGUAAUCAGAAUAGUAGUUCGGGAGUAAGCUACAAGCAAGCUACUAAAUCUGCGACAGCAAGCUGAGGCUACAUGGCACUUCUUCCCCUCGCAACAAGGGUCUGAGAAAACCACUAGACGUUACUCGCUACCAUAUUCAGGUAAUAAUGCAAGAGUUACUUCUGGUUUUCCUGAAACAACAGGAGUCUCAGACUUGGGCGGCAACACCAUCUUUUAUCCUAUGCAAAUAUGUUUCUCCGGUUACCUGAUCAUAUAAAUUUGUUUCUGUGUUGUGCGAGCAGACAAAUCUUUAAACAUGAACAUGUUUUUUUUAGAAUUGAAUAUGAACAUGUUACCAACGCCUUA